UACGGAGGGUGCGAGCGUUGUCCGGAAUCACUGGGCGUAAAGGGCGCGUAGGCGGUCCGCUAAGUGUGUGGUGAAAGCCCGGGGCUCAACCCCGGGUCUGCCGUGCAAACUGUCGGACUGGAGGACUGUAGAGGCAGGUGGAAUUCCGGGUGUAGCGGUGGAAUGCGUAGAGAUCCGGAAGAAGACCGGUGGCGAAGGCGACCUGCUGGGCAGUCACUGACGCUGAGGCGCGACAGCGUGGGGAGCAAACAGG
This 253-nucleotide ribosomal RNA is filed under the name uncultured Gemmatimonas sp. RNAcentral's name for it is "partial 16S ribosomal RNA". It matches the Rfam family "Bacterial small subunit ribosomal RNA", at positions 524 to 776 of the family's 1533-position model. Lineage: Bacteria; Pseudomonadati; Gemmatimonadota; Gemmatimonadia; Gemmatimonadales; Gemmatimonadaceae. The record is from RNAcentral.